UACGGGGGGGGCAAGCGUUGUUCGGAAUUACUGGGCGUAAAGCGCACGUAGGCGGCUUUGUAAGUUAGAGGUGAAAGCCCGGGGCUCAACCCCGGAAUUGCCUUUAAGACUGCAUCGCUUGAACGUCGGAGAGGUGAGUGGAAUUCCGAGUGUAGAGGUGAAAUUCGUAGAUAUUCGGAAGAACACCAGUGGCGAAGGCGGCUCACUGGACGACUGUUGACGCUGAGGUGCGAAAGCGUGGGGAGCAAACAGG
This 253-nucleotide ribosomal RNA is filed under the name uncultured bacterium. RNAcentral's name for it is "partial 16S ribosomal RNA". It matches the Rfam family "Bacterial small subunit ribosomal RNA", at positions 524 to 776 of the family's 1533-position model. The record is from RNAcentral.